RNAcentral lists this ribosomal RNA (895 nucleotides) under uncultured bacterium. RNAcentral describes it as "bacterial SSU rRNA". It matches the Rfam family "Bacterial small subunit ribosomal RNA", at positions 8 to 916 of the family's 1533-position model. The record is from RNAcentral.
AGAGUUUGAUCCUGGCUCAGGACGAACGCUGGCGGCGUGCUUAACACAUGCAAGCCGAACGAUGACGGAGGAGCUUGCUCCUCUUGAUUAGUGGCGAACGGGUGAGUAAUACGUGAGCAAUGUGCCCUUGACUCUGGGAUAAGCGCUGGAAACGGCGUCUAAUACCGGAUACGACGACGGAGGCAUCUCCUGGUCGUGGAAAGAACUUCGGUCAAGGAUCAGCUCACGGCCUAUCAGUUAGUUGGUGAGGUAAUGGCUCACCAAGACGACGACGGGUAGCCGGCCUGAGAGGGUGACCGGCCACACUGGGACUGAGACACGGCCCAGACUCCUACGGGAGGCAGCAGUGGGGAAUAUUGCACAAUGGGCGCAAGCCUGAUGCAGCAACGCCGCGUGAGGGACGAAGGCCUUCGGGUUGUAAACCUCUUUUAGCAGGGAAGAAGCGAAAGUGACGGUACCUGCAGAAAAAGCACCGGCUAACUACGUGCCAGCAGCCGCGGUAAUACGUAGGGUGCAAGCGUUGUCCGGAAUUAUUGGGCGUAAAGAGCUCGUAGGCGGUUUGUCACGUCUGCUGUGAAAACCCGAGGCUCAACCUCGGGCUUGCAGUGGGUACGGGCAGACUAGAGUGCGGUAGGGGAGAUUGGAAUUCCUGGUGUAGCGGUGGAAUGCGCAGAUAUCAGGAGGAACACCGAUGGCGAAGGCAGAUCUCUGGGCCGUAACUGACGCUGAGGAGCGAAAGCAUGGGGAGCAAACAGGCUUAGAUACCCUGGUAGUCCAUGCCGUAAACGUUGGGAACUAGAUGUGGGGACAUUCCGGUCUCCGUGUCGUAGCUAACGCAUUAAGUUCCCCGCCUGGGGAGUACGGCCGCAAGGCUAAAACUCAAAGGAAUUGACGG